UUGUCUAAAGGACUAAGCCAUACAUGCGAAAGUAUAGAUUUUUAUAUAAAAUCGAAACUGCGAACGGCUCCUUAAAACAGUUAUAAUAUACUUGGAAUUGUUUUUUACAAGGAUACCUACGGAAACGCUGUAGCUAAUACUUGCAGAUAUAUCUUUGUAGAUGUAUCGUAUUCGUUGGCUUUAGCGGUAUGGUGUAUUAUAUAUCCUGUGGAAUCACAACGAAGAAGUGACGCGUCCAUUAUUUUGAUGGUUAGCGCGUACCAAUCGAGUUUCUGAUCUAUCAGCUAAUCACGAAGGUAUUGUCUUGGUGAGGCUAUGACGGAUAACGGGGAAUUAGAGUUCGAUUCCGGAGAGGGCGCCUGAGAGAUGGCGACUGUAACUACGGUUAGCAGCAGGCGCGAAAAUUGCCCAAUGCCGACAAGGCGAGGCAGCGACCAGACAUACCAGGCUUCGAUCGUUUUCACGGUUGAUGAACUGGAUUCGGAUCUCCCUAAACGAGAGGUCGAGAGGUAGUUUAGAUCAAGUUGAAGUGCCAGCAUUCGCGGUAAUACUUCCUCAAACGAAUGUAUGUUAAAGUUGUUGCGGUUAAAACGCUCGUAGUUGAUUAUCUACCACAGGUUGUUGACCAAUUGUAAUCUAAUUUUUUUUUAAAAAUUUAGUAUUGCUGAUUGGUCCUCUGUGGCAUGACUAAAAACUUUUUUUUGUAUUUUAUAAUAUGAAUGGGUUUUGUCGUUACCUUGAGUAAAUUAGAGUGUUCAAAGCAAACUUAUUUUGUUUGAAUACCACAGCAUGGAAUAACUGCAUUGCGCCAAUGUUUGUUUGUUCGCACGAGCUGCACAAACUUGGUGCCGAUUAAUAGGAGCAGUUGGGGGCAUCCGUACUCCGAAGCUAGAGGUGAAAUUCUGUGACUUUCGGAAGACGCACGACUGCGAAGGCACUUGUCCAAAAUGCGUCCAUUAAUCAAGAGCGAAGUUAUGGGCAUCGAAAAAGAUCAGAGACCUUUGUAAUCCAUAAAGUAAACUAUGCCGUCCAAGACGGAGUGAGCUUCCUAUGACGUUCUCUUGCUUAUUAUAUAAGAUUACUAAAAGUUUCGGCUUUGUGUUAAUUAUUUGUAAUAUAGAAUGUAGAGACAUCGCUUAGGCUGAUUCUGUCUUUGUGAGAAAUCCGAGAUUUUGGGUUCCGGGGCGAGUAUAAGCGCAAGCUAGAAAGUUAAAAGAAUUGACGGAGGGACACCACAAAGCGUGGAGCUUGCGGCUUAAUUUGACUCAACACGGGAAACCUCACUAGUGUAAGACAGCGGUAGGAUUGACAGGUUUGCAGACCUUUCAUGAUUCGCUGGCGGGUGAUGCAUGGCCGUUCCUAGCUCUUGGCGUGAGCUGUCUGGUUAAUUCCGAUAACGAGCGGGACCUCCCCUUCCGUUUGUGCAGUUGCCAUACAAAAGAUAUAAAAAUGUUUUUUUUUUGUUUCUGUUGCUUUCAAUUUACAUUCUUCUUUAGAAGAUGUGAAUAUGAUUAGUAAUAUUUGCAAAUAAAAAUAUUUUAUAUUUUUGACAAUUUAAUUUUUGCAGUACGGAGGGACGUCGCGUGUUUAACGCGAGGCAGGGAGGCCACAACAGGUCUGUGAUGUCCUCAGAUAUGCUAGGCUGCACGCGUGCUACACUGGCGCGCGCAUCGGGCUUAGAUAUAAAAAAUAACUUAUUUUAUGUAAAUGAAUUUUUUUUUCCUCUCUUGAGAAAGCGGGGGAAUCCUGAAUGCGCGCCGUGACGGGGAUCGAAUCUUGCAAUUAGGAUUCUUGAACGAGGAAUGCUUAGUAAGCGCAACUCAUCAGGUUGCGCUGUAUGCGUAACUGCCCUUUGCACACACCGCCCGUCGUUGCUUUUAAUGGAGUGCCAAGUGACUUGUGUAGAGCGUUCGUUCGGUUAUUCGUUCGUUGCAAAGCACUGGGAACUUUGUUCUCUAGAGAAAG
RNAcentral lists this ribosomal RNA (1965 nucleotides) under Haemoproteus tartakovskyi. RNAcentral's name for it is "SSU rRNA". It matches the Rfam family "Eukaryotic small subunit ribosomal RNA". The record is from RNAcentral. Lineage: Eukaryota; Apicomplexa; Aconoidasida; Haemosporida; Haemoproteidae.